UACGGGGGGUGCGAGCGUUGUCCGGAAUCACUGGGCGUAAAGGGCGCGUAGGUGGUUUGAUAAGGGUGUGGUGAAAGCCCGGAGCUCAACUCCGGGUCUGCCGUGCCGACUGUCAAACUCGAGGGCUGUAGAGGCAGACGGAAUUCCGGGUGUAGCGGUGGAAUGCGUAGAGAUCUGGAGGAACACCGGUGACGAAGGCGGCAUCCUGGACCAACACUGACGCUGAGUGAGCGAAAGCCAGGGGAGCAAACGGG
This 254-nucleotide ribosomal RNA is filed under the name uncultured bacterium. RNAcentral describes it as "partial 16S ribosomal RNA". It matches the Rfam family "Bacterial small subunit ribosomal RNA", at positions 524 to 776 of the family's 1533-position model. The record is from RNAcentral.